UAGAAAUAAAUCUGAACAGGUUGUUGCUGGUCGGAAGACAUGUGCACGCUUGUCCUCUUUAUUUUUCCAACUGUGCACAUAUUGUAGACCUGUGAUGUUGUUUUCUUGUCAAGAGGGAAUGGCCAGGUCUAUGUUACAUUUUAACAACGCGUUUUAGAAUGUCGGGUACUGGGGAUAUAACAAAUAUA
RNAcentral lists this unclassified non-coding RNA (188 nucleotides) under uncultured Inocybe. RNAcentral describes it as "sequence contains ITS1". The record is from RNAcentral. Lineage: Eukaryota; Fungi; Basidiomycota; Agaricomycetes; Agaricales; Cortinariaceae.